AUGCGACUCUUUUUUUAAACAUGUGAUCAAACACACCCGGUUUUCCUUCUUCUCCAACUCCAACAUGUUUGUGAAAUACUUCCAUGACAGGGCUUAUUCUUCAACCUCAAAUCUUUCUUCUCCGGAUACCUACUGUAGACAUGUAAAUUUCGUUGCAUACAAAUGAUGCAUCACAAAGCUCCACGUAGCAUAUGCCUCAUCACAAAUGGACAAGUCAUCAAUGACAUGUGGCAUAAAUUUGGCACAAGGGUCUAAAGUGAUCCUAAACUGGAAAGAAAGCUAAGGCAUAUUCACAAAACAAGCAAGAAUUGAAGAUUGUUCACAAAAUAGCAAUAAGGCCUCUAA
This 345-nucleotide long non-coding RNA is filed under the name Malus domestica (apple). RNAcentral describes it as "long non-coding RNA (MDOM_LNC016328)". Lineage: Eukaryota; Viridiplantae; Streptophyta; Magnoliopsida; Rosales; Rosaceae. The record is from RNAcentral.